RNAcentral lists this ribosomal RNA (492 nucleotides) under uncultured bacterium. RNAcentral describes it as "partial 16S ribosomal RNA". It matches the Rfam family "Bacterial small subunit ribosomal RNA", at positions 29 to 507 of the family's 1533-position model. The record is from RNAcentral.
AGUGAACGCUGGCGGUAGGCCUAACACAUGCAAGUCGAACGGCAGCACAGUAAGAGCUUGCUCUUACGGGUGGCGAGUGGCGGACGGGUGAGGAAUACAUCGGAAUCUACUUUUUCGUGGGGGAUAACGUAGGGAAACUUCCGCUAAUACCGCAUACGACCUACGGGUGAAAGCAGGAGAUCUUCGGACCUUGCGCGAUUGAAUGAGCCGAUGUCGGAUUAGCUAGUUGGCGGGGUAAAGGCCCACCAAGGCGACGAUCCGUAGCUGGUCUGAGAGGAUGAUCAGCCACACUGGAACUGAGACACGGUCCAGACUCCUACGGGAGGCAGCAGUGGGGAAUAUUGGACAAUGGGCGAAAGCCUGAUCCAGCCAUACCGCGUGGGUGAAGAAGGCCUUCGGGUUGUAAAGCCCUUUUGUUGGGAAAGAAAAGCAGCAGGUUAAUACCCCGCUGUUCUGACGGUACCCAAAGAAUAAGCACCGGCUAACUUCGUG